This 217-nucleotide ribosomal RNA is filed under the name uncultured bacterium. RNAcentral describes it as "partial 16S ribosomal RNA". It matches the Rfam family "Bacterial small subunit ribosomal RNA", at positions 524 to 739 of the family's 1533-position model. The record is from RNAcentral.
UACGGAGGGGGCUAGCGUUGUUCGGAAUUACUGGGCGUAAAGCGCGCGCAGGCGGCUUGGCGCGCCGACGUGAAAGCCCCCGGCUUAACCGGGGGAGAGUCGUCGGGGACGGCCGGGCUUGAGGGCGGGAGAGGGUGGUGGAAUUCCCGGUGUAGUGGUGAAAUGGCGUAGAGAUCGGGAGGAACACCUGUGGCGAAGGCGGCCACCUGGGCCGACC